This 253-nucleotide ribosomal RNA is filed under the name uncultured bacterium. RNAcentral describes it as "partial 16S ribosomal RNA". It matches the Rfam family "Bacterial small subunit ribosomal RNA", at positions 524 to 776 of the family's 1533-position model. The record is from RNAcentral.
GACGAACCGAGCGAACGUUGUUCGGAAUCACUGGGCUUAAAGGGCGCGUAGGCGGGCUGUCAAGUCUGGGGUGAAAUCCCGCGGCUCAACCGUGGAACUGCCUUAGAUACUGACGGCCUCGAGGGAGGUAGGGGCGAGCGGAACUGUGAGUGGAGCGGUGAAAUGCGUUGAUAUUCACAGGAACUCCGGUGGCGAAGGCGGCUCGCUGGACCUCUUCUGACGCUGAGGCGCGAAAGCUAGGGGAGCAAACGGG